GUUGACCUCGGAUCAGGUAGGGAUACCCGCUGAACUUAAGCAUAUCAAUAAGCGGAGGA
RNAcentral lists this ribosomal RNA (59 nucleotides) under Aspergillus tubingensis. Lineage: Eukaryota; Fungi; Ascomycota; Eurotiomycetes; Eurotiales; Aspergillaceae. The record is from RNAcentral. RNAcentral also lists the same sequence under 94 other names.